AGGACGAACGCUGGCGGCGUGCUUAACACAUGCAAGUCGAACGGAAAGGCCCUUCGGGGUACUCGAGUGGCGAACGGGUGAGUAACACGUGAGCAAUCUGCCCUUAGCUUCGGGAUAGCUCCGGGAAACCGGAAUUAAUACCGAAUAUGACUCCGGCCGACAUCGGCUGUGGUGGAAAGUUUUUCGGCUAGGGAUGAGCUCGCGGCCUAUCAGCUUGUUGGUGAGGUAACGGCUCACCAAGGCGACGACGGGUA
This 254-nucleotide ribosomal RNA is filed under the name uncultured bacterium. RNAcentral's name for it is "partial small subunit ribosomal RNA". It matches the Rfam family "Bacterial small subunit ribosomal RNA", at positions 26 to 285 of the family's 1533-position model. The record is from RNAcentral.